AUAAGCCUGAAAUUGAACAAGUAUACCCGUUGAA
Molecule: ribosomal RNA, 34 nt
Filed under: Monocystis sp. R1_20
Lineage: Eukaryota; Apicomplexa; Conoidasida; Eugregarinorida; Monocystidae
Description: partial 28S ribosomal RNA
Source: RNAcentral